UAGGAAUCUGCCUUGAAGAGGGGGACAACCCGAGGAAACUCGGGCUAAUACCGCAUAAUCUCGCGAGAGAAAAGCUGGGUAGCAAUACCUGGCGCUUCAAGAGGAGCCUGCGUCCGAUUAGCUAGUUGGUGGGGUAAAGGCCUACCAAGGCGAUGAUCGGUAGCUGGUCUGAGAGGAUGACCAGCCACACGUGGGACUGGACGACCGACCGGCCCAGACCUUACCCCGGGUAAACCGGGGGGACGGACCGAAGACCG
This 257-nucleotide ribosomal RNA is filed under the name uncultured bacterium. Its description in RNAcentral is "partial 16S ribosomal RNA". The stretch from base 1 to 188 matches the Rfam family "Bacterial small subunit ribosomal RNA", at positions 118 to 311 of the family's 1533-position model. The record is from RNAcentral.